Molecule: RNA transcript, 1630 nt
Organism: Lolium perenne
Lineage: Eukaryota; Viridiplantae; Streptophyta; Magnoliopsida; Poales; Poaceae
Gene name: putative heat stress transcription factor A-6a
Source: RefSeq, a predicted model, not a curated record
CCCCACACUCCACUCCCGCCAAAUCUCCAGCCAGAUCGAACGACCUAACGAACGAACACUACACUCAGCCAGAUGGACUCCCUCACCGCCGUAAUGACGACGGACAUCAAGCAGGAGGAGCCCGAGAUGGUGGUGCUGGACGACGACGACGGCGACGACUGCUGCCUGCGCGCGCCGACGCCGUUGGACCUGGCGGCGGCCGCGGCGGUGGCGCCGUUCCUGGCCAAGACGUUCGACAUGGUGGAGGACCCGGCGACGGACGCGGUGGUGUCGUGGGGCGCGGCGCGGAACAGCUUCGUGGUGUGGGAUCCCCACGCCUUCGCCGCCCGCCUCCUCCCGCUCCACUUCAAGCACGCCAACUUCUCCAGCUUCCUCCGCCAGCUCAAUACCUAUGGAUUCCGCAAGGUGAACCCGGACAGGUGGGAGUUCGCCAACGCGGGCUUCCUCGGCGGGCAGCGCCACCUCCUGGCCGGCAUCCGCCGCCGCCGCGGCGCCGACACCGGCCGCCGGCCCGCGGCCUCGUCGUCUGCGUCCUCGUGCGCGGCGGAGGCCGGCGUCAUCGGCGUCGUGGACGGGGAGCUGGAGCGGCUGCGGCGGGACCGGGAGGCGCUGAAGCAGGAGCUGGCGCGGCUCAGGGUGCAGCAGGAGGCGUCGCGCGCCACGCUGCUGGACAUGGAGCGCCGCGUGCUGGGCACCGAGCGCCGGCAGGAGCAGUGCAAGGCCUUCCUCGUGCGCGCGAUCAGGAACCCGAGUUUUCUCACCAGCCUGGCACGCCGCAACGCACUCGCCGCCGGCGACGCGGUGCCCGUCGUCAAGGGCAAGAACAAGCGGCGGCUGCUCGACGACAUCCCGUCGCCGCCGCCGCCGGCGACGGACGAUGGUUUCACCUUCGAGGAGCUUGCACUGGCGGCCGGUGUCGCCGUCGAGGCGGGCGUCCCGGCCGUGAAAACUGAGAGCGCGGGCGGCAUAACGACGGACAUGAUUUGGUACGAGCUGCUCGGGGACGAGCAGGCGGAGAUGGACGUCGAGGUGGAAGACCUCGUCAGCGCCGCCGCCGCCGCCGCGGAGGAGAUGGAGCCGUGGGAGGGGAUGGGCGAGGAGGAGGUGCAGGAUCUGAUGCUGCAGAUUGAUUGCUUGGCCGGCUCGCCCAGUUCUUGAUCAUCAGCUCAGCACAACUCACUAGUAUUACUGUCUUAGUAGUAGUAGCAGGGCACAGUAGCUUUGAGAUUUGAUUGUGAUUACUAUGUGUGUGUGCAUUGCCUUGCUAAUUCGGAUUCUGCGUGUGUUCGUGCAGGAUCCGGAUGAUGGUAUCUGUCAGGAUGCGAGCUGUGGAAGGGUGUGAGAGCGACUGUGCUCCAGAAGUUCAGGAUUACCAAGAUGAAAGGGUGCAGAAGUGCAGACCCCCUAGUGAAAGAGAACAGUGUGUCCACUUGUGGUGUCAUCGCAAGGCUACCCCUUUUCAUCUUCAGGAGGGCAGAAACGCAAAGGCGAUUUCCUCGAUUAGUGACAACCAAAUUGCUUCCCCUCAUUAGCAUGGAUAACAACUGUGGGCACCAGUGUCACCAAACAUGCUGCUUUGUUUCUUCAACAUGCUCACUGACUACAUCUAUAUGGAAAAUCCUCUUGAUUC